RNAcentral lists this ribosomal RNA (251 nucleotides) under uncultured bacterium. Its description in RNAcentral is "partial 16S ribosomal RNA". It matches the Rfam family "Bacterial small subunit ribosomal RNA", at positions 525 to 775 of the family's 1533-position model. The record is from RNAcentral.
ACGGAGGGUGCAAGCGUUAAUCGGAAUUACUGGGCGUAAAGCGCACGCAGGCGGUUUGUUAAGUCAGAUGUGAAAUCCCCGGGCUCAACCUGGGAACUGCAUCUGAUACUGGCAAGCUUGAGUCUCGUAGAGGGGGGUAGAAUUCCAGGUGUAGCGGUGAAAUGCGUAGAGAUCUGGAGGAAUACCGGUGGCGAAGGCGGCCCCCUAGACGAAGACUGACGCUCAGGUGCGAAAGCGUGGGGAGCAAACAG